AGACUGCUUAGCAAUGCUGGAAUCUUGGAGACAUCAGCAUGCUUAUGUCACAAGCCACAUCUGUCACUGCAGGAUUUGUGUUUGUCCUCACGUUAAUAAUAACUGAUGGAGGCACCAAGUCGCCUUCCCUUAAAAGCAAGGAGUCUGAAUAUCAGUUUGGGAAGAGGUGCUUCAAAGAUCAAACCAGGCCCAUGACAGUGACAUUCCUGGAUCAAUAUGGUCAGGAGGGUCAUAUAUAUCCUUCCAGUGGCAAGCUAAUAGUCCAAAGCCAGUACAUGAUAUGAAAAAGUUCUCAAUGUUACAACAAAACCAUGAAAAGGAAGAAAUAAGUGGCUGAGAAUGAAGAGUAAAAAUAACUGAAUAAAUUUAGACAUAAGUUCCAAGUGGUUUUCAACGGCUCUGGAUGUGGAAACCACUGCAGGUCAACAUCCCGAAAGAAAGUCCACAAUUAUACUUAUCAGUUUUCCACCCCCUGCUAAAGUAACCACAACAUUAUCAUGAGGAAAUCAUGAAAAGAAAAAGCAUGCUGCAGCAUACUCAUUCAACUUUGAAUAUAAUCAAAGAAGAAAUACCAUCCUUCACAAGUGAACUGCAGAAUUAUUUCCUACCCUGAGGAAUUGAUCUUUUCAUACCACUAUGGUGAGAUUUAACUUCUCUCAGAAAAACCAAAAAAUAAAGUGUUGUAUUACAAGGCUGUGUCCUGUAAAUACUUGAGAGUUAUGCCUGUAAUUUCCCUAAAGUUCAUGGUCUGCAGUGCUUGCUCAUGUCCAAAGUGGUUUAGAAGAUCAGACUCCAAG
RNAcentral lists this long non-coding RNA (797 nucleotides) under Heterocephalus glaber (naked mole-rat). Its description in RNAcentral is "lncRNA (ENSHGLG00100030494.2)". Lineage: Eukaryota; Metazoa; Chordata; Mammalia; Rodentia; Bathyergidae. The record is from RNAcentral.